Molecule: ribosomal RNA, 503 nt
Filed under: uncultured bacterium
Lineage: Bacteria
Description: partial 16S ribosomal RNA
Rfam family: Bacterial small subunit ribosomal RNA
Source: RNAcentral
AUUGAACGCCGGCGGCAGGCUUAACACAUGCAAGUCGAGCGGAGUGAUGGUGCUUGCACUAUCACUUAGCGGCGGACGGGUGAGUAAUGCUUAGGAAUCUGCCUAUUAGUGGGGGACAACAUCUCGAAAGGGAUGCUAAUACCGCAUACGUCCUACGGGAGAAAGCAGGGGAUCACUUGUGACCUUGCGCUAAUAGAUGAGCCUAAGUCGGAUUAGCUAGUUGGUGGGGUAAAGGCCUAUCAAGGCGACGAUCUGUAGCGGGUCUGAGAGGAUGAUCCGCCACACUGGGACUGAGACACGGCCCAGACUCCUACAGGAGGCAGCAGUGGGGAAUAUUGGACAAUGGGGGGAACCCUGAUCCAGCCAUGCCGCGUGUGUGAAGAAGGCCUUAUGGUUGUAAAGCACUUUAAGCGAGGAGGAGGCUCUUUUGGUUAAUACCCAAGAUGAGUGGACGUUACUCGCAGAAUAAGCACCGGCUAACCCUGUGCCAGCCGCCGCCGUAA